Molecule: non-coding RNA, 82 nt
Organism: Ixodes scapularis (black-legged tick)
Lineage: Eukaryota; Metazoa; Arthropoda; Arachnida; Ixodida; Ixodidae
Source: Rfam
GCAGUCGUGGCCGAGUGAUUAAGGUAAUGGACUAGAAAUCCAUUCGGGUCUCCCCGCACAGGUUCAAAUCAUGUCGACUGCG